CCAGACUUGACAUGCCUGGAAUCCUGCAGAGAUGUGGGAGUGCCCGCAAGGGAACCAGGACACAGGUGCUGCAUGGCUGUCGUCAGCUCGUGUCGUGAGAUGUUGGGUUAAGUCCCGCAACGAGCGCAACCCUCGCCUUUAGUUGCCAGCAUUCAGUUGGGCACUCUAGAGGGACUGCCGGUGUCAAGCCGGAGGAAGGUGGGGAUGACGUCAAGUCCUCAUGGCCUUUAUGUCUGGGGCUACACACGUGCUACAAUGGUCGGUACAAUGGGCUGCCAAGGCGCGAGCCGGAGCUAAUCCCAGAAAACCGAUCCCAGUUCGGAUCGAAGUCUGCAACUCGACUUCGUGAAGUCGGAAUCGCUAGUAAUCGCGGAUCAGAACGCCGCGGUGAAUACGUUCCC
RNAcentral lists this ribosomal RNA (401 nucleotides) under uncultured bacterium. RNAcentral describes it as "bacterial SSU rRNA". It matches the Rfam family "Bacterial small subunit ribosomal RNA", at positions 975 to 1375 of the family's 1533-position model. The record is from RNAcentral.